CCUACGGGUGGCUGCAGUGAGGAAUAUUGGUCAAUGGACGAGAGUCUGAACCAGCCAAGUAGCGUGAAGGAUGACUGCCCUAUGGGUUGUAAACUUCUUUUAUAUGGGAAUAAAAUGUUCCACGUGUGGGCUUUUGUAUGUACCAUAUGAAUAAGGAUCGGCUAACUCCGUGCCAGCAGCCGCGGUAAUACGGAGGGUCCGAGCGUUAUCCGGAUUUAUUGGGUUUAAAGGGAGCGUAGGUGGAUUGUUAAGUCAGUUGUGAAAGUUUGCGGCUCAACCGUAAAAUUGCAGUUGAAACUGGUAGGCUUGAGUACAGUAGAGGUGGGCGGAAUUCGAGGUGUAGCGGUGAAAUGCGUAGAUAUCACGAAGAACUCCGAUUGCGAAGGCAGCUCACUGGACUGAAACUGACACUGAGGCUCGAAAGUGUGGGUAUCAAACAGGAUUAGAUACCCUUGUAGUC
This 460-nucleotide ribosomal RNA is filed under the name uncultured bacterium. RNAcentral describes it as "partial 16S ribosomal RNA". It matches the Rfam family "Bacterial small subunit ribosomal RNA", at positions 338 to 795 of the family's 1533-position model. The record is from RNAcentral.